UACGUAGGGGGCAAGCGUUGUCCGGAUUUAUUGGGCGUAAAGAGCGUGUAGGCGGCUUUGCAAGUCGGGUGUGAAAUCCCCAGGCUUAACCUGGGAACUGCAUUCGAGACUGCAUUGCUAGAGUAUGGGAGAGGGAAGUGGAAUUUCCGGUGUAGCGGUGAAAUGCGUAGAUAUCGGAAGGAACAUCAGUGGCGAAAGCGACUUCCUGGACCAAUACUGACGCUCAUGUGCGAAAGCGUGGGGAGCAAACAGG
This 253-nucleotide ribosomal RNA is filed under the name uncultured bacterium. RNAcentral's name for it is "partial 16S ribosomal RNA". It matches the Rfam family "Bacterial small subunit ribosomal RNA", at positions 524 to 776 of the family's 1533-position model. The record is from RNAcentral.